RNAcentral lists this small RNA (2316 nucleotides) under Pongo abelii (Sumatran orangutan). RNAcentral's name for it is "retained intron". The record is from RNAcentral. Lineage: Eukaryota; Metazoa; Chordata; Mammalia; Primates; Hominidae.
CGACUCAACAGUAAGGCCCCGCGGGCGUCCCGGCCGCCAUGUGCACCGCAGUGGACCCUCGCAUCGUCCGGAGAUACCUACUCAGGCGGCAGCUCGGGCAGGGGGCCUAUGGCAUUGUGUGGAAGGCAGUGGACCGGAGGACUGGUGAGGUCGUGGCCAUCAAGAAAAUCUUUGAUGCUUUUAGGGAUAAGACAGAUGCCCAGAGAACAUUCCGGGAAAUCACGCUCCUCCAGGAGUUUGGGGACCAUCCCAACAUCAUCAGCCUCCUUGACGUGAUCCGGGCAGAGAACGACAGGGACAUUUACCUGGUGUUUGAGUUUAUGGGUUGCCUCCCCCAGCCCCCCACCCCCGACUGGAGUGCACCCUCUCCGCAGACACUGACCUGAACGCAGUCAUCCGGAAGGGCGGGCUGCUGCAGGACAUCCACGUGCGCUCCAUCUUCUACCAGCUCCUGCGGGCCACCCGGUUCCUCCACUCCGGGCACGUUGUGCACCGGGACCAGAAGCCGUCCAAUGUGCUCCUGGAUGCCAACUGCACAGUGAAGCUGUGUGACUUUGGCCUGGCCCGCUCCCUGGGCGACCUCCCCGAGGGGCCUGAGGACCAGGCCUUGACAGAGUACGUGGCCACACGCUGGUACCGAGCUCCGGAGGUGUUGCUCUCUUCGCACCGAUACACCCUUGGGGUGGACAUGUGGAGUCUGGGCUGUAUCCUGGGGGAGAUGCUGCGAGGGAGGCCCCUGUUCCCGGGUACGUCCACCCUCCACCAGCUGGAGCUGAUCCUGGAGACCAUCCCGCCACCAUCCGAGGAGGACCUCCUGGCUCUCGGUUCAGGCUGCCGUGCCUCUGUGCUGCACCACCUGGGGUCCCGGUGAGUGGGGGCACUUCGGUGAGGGUGAGAGGGUGGCCUGUCUCAAGGGAGGAGGGCCACUUUCCUGAAAGUUUACUGGGGCCAGUUUGUACCAGUUCAGAUUCCGCCUGUUUUCAAGAUGGCAGUCCCAAACCCAACAACUGUUGGCCACUCUGAAAGCAGGAGCCCCUGGUGCUCCUAGAGAGUGGCCCAGAGGAGCUGCGCCAGGGCGUCGAGAGGAGGGUACCAGGGGGCUGCAGGGGUCUCUCCACUCUGCAGGGGCCCAGACUGCCUGCAGGUCAGGCACAGGAGCAUCUACCUAGACAGGACAGCAGGGUGGACCCCAGUUUGGAAGCUGAGCCCCCAGCCAUGAACAUGGAUCUGAGGAGGGGCCCUUGGGUCGGGCCCUGGAAACGACACAUGGCAGCCCACAGGCCGCGACAGACGCUGGAUGCCCUCCUACCGCCAGACACCUCCCCAGAGGCCUUGGACCUCCUUAGGCAACUCCUGGUGUUCGCCCCGGACAAGCGGUUAAGCGCGACCCAGGCACUGCAGCACCCCUACGUGCAGAGAUGAUCCUGGAGCGUGGAGGCAGCAGCGGCACCUCGAGAAAGAAGGGCCCGGAGCGUGUCUCCCGGAGCCAGGCACACGUGCACAAACCCAGAGCCGACCCUCAGCUGCCUUCUGGGACACGUGUGCAGGGUCCCAGACCCAGGCCUCAGAGUAGCCUGGGCCACGACCCCCCCGAGCAUGAGUCCCCCUGUGCAGCCAAGAACAUUCCCAGGCAGAACUCCGCUCCCCUGCUCCAAACUGCACUCCUAGGGAAUGGGGAAAGGCCCCCUGGGGCGAAGGAAGCGCCCCCCUUGACACUCUCGCUGGUAAGUCAUGGUGGGGCGGGCACGGGAGGGACCCUUCCUCUGCACCUUUCAGUGACCCUGUGACAUGGCCCUUCCCAGGCGAAGCCAAGCGGCAGGGGAGCUGCGCCCUCCCUAACCUCCCAGGCUGCGGCUCAGGUGGCCAACCAGGUCCUGAUCCGGGGUGACUGGAACCGGGGCGGUGGGGUGAGGGUGGCCAGCGCACAACAGGUCCCUCCCCGGCUUCCUCCGGAGGCCCGGCCCGGCCGGAGGAUGUUCAGCACCUCUGCCUUGCAGGGUGCCCAGGGGGCUGCCAGGGCUUUGCUUGGAGGCUACUCCCAAGCCUACGGGACUGUGUGCCACUCGGCACUGGGCCACCUGCCCCUGCUGGAGGAGCACCGUGUGUGAGCCGCCCUACUCCCUUCACCUGGUCCCCUGUUCCUGCCCCAGCCCCUUCCCCAGACCCCUCCCCAGUCUCCUGCACCCCUUAGCCCUCCCUGCUUUGCCCGGCCACGUUGAAGUUCCAGGGAGCUUGCCCGGGUCUCCUUGGGGGAGCAGAUGAGGGCCCUGCCCCAGCCCCACUGACUUCCUCCAAUAAAGUCAUGUCUGCCCCCAA